Molecule: ribosomal RNA, 253 nt
Filed under: uncultured bacterium
Lineage: Bacteria
Description: partial 16S ribosomal RNA
Rfam family: Bacterial small subunit ribosomal RNA
Source: RNAcentral
UACGGAGGGGGCUAGCGUUGUUCGGAAUUACUGGGCGUAAAGCGCACGUAGGCGGCUUUGCAAGUUAGAGGUGAAAGCCCGGGGCUCAACUCCGGAAUUGCCUUUAAAACUGCAUCGCUAGAAUUGUGGAGAGGUAAGUGGAAUUCCGAGUGUAGAGGUGAAAUUCGUAGAUAUCGGGAGGAACACCAGUGGCGAAGGCGGCUCUCUGGGCAGAUACUGACGCUGAGACGCGAAAGCAUGGGGAGCAAACAGG